Molecule: ribosomal RNA, 492 nt
Filed under: uncultured bacterium
Lineage: Bacteria
Description: partial 16S ribosomal RNA
Rfam family: Bacterial small subunit ribosomal RNA
Source: RNAcentral
AGUGAACGCUGGCGGUAGGCCUAACACAUGCAAGUCGAACGGCAGCACAGUAAGAGCUUGCUCUUACGGGUGGCGAGUGGCGGACGGGUGAGGAAUACAUCGGAAUCUACUUUUUCGUGGGGGAUAACGUAGGGAAACUUACGCUAAUACCGCAUACGACCUACGGGUGAAAGCAGGGGAUCUUCGGACCUUGCGCGAUUGAAUGAGCCGAUGUCGGAUUAGCUAGUUGGCGGGGUAAAGGCCCACCAAGGCGACGAUCCGUAGCUGGUCUGAAAGGAUGAUCCGCCACACUGGAACUGAGACACGGUCCAGACUCCUACGGGAGGCAGCAGUGGGGAAUAUUGGACAAUGGGCGCAAGCCUGAUCCAGCCAUACCGCGUGGGUGAAGAAGGCCUUCGGGUUGUAAAGCCCUUUUGUUGGGAAAGAAAAGCAGCAGGUUAAUACCCCGCUGUUCUGACGGUACCCAAAGAAUAAGCACCGGCUAACUUCGUG